GCUUGCUUUGGCAGCAUAUACUAAAAUUGGAACAAAACAGAGAAGAUUAGCAU
This 53-nucleotide small nuclear RNA is filed under the name Sus scrofa (pig). Lineage: Eukaryota; Metazoa; Chordata; Mammalia; Artiodactyla; Suidae. The record is from RNAcentral.